GGCCACCGGCUUGUGGUUGCCUUUCGGUUACACCCUUGUCCGGUGGUUCUCUUCGCGGGGACGCCGCGUGCCUUCACUGGCUCACGGAUGCGAACCGCGACGUUUACUUUGAAAAAAUUAGAGUGUUCAAAGCAGGCCGUUACGGCUUGAAUAUCUUAGCAUGGAAUAAUAGAAUAGGACUUUGGUUCUAUUUUGUUGGUUUCUAGGACUAGAGUA
Molecule: ribosomal RNA, 216 nt
Filed under: uncultured fungus
Lineage: Eukaryota; Fungi
Description: partial small subunit ribosomal RNA
Rfam family: Eukaryotic small subunit ribosomal RNA (bases 93-216)
Source: RNAcentral